This 796-nucleotide long non-coding RNA is filed under the name Rattus norvegicus (Norway rat). Its description in RNAcentral is "long non-coding RNA NONRATT031352". Lineage: Eukaryota; Metazoa; Chordata; Mammalia; Rodentia; Muridae. The record is from RNAcentral.
UCUUUGCAUGGCACACACACAGAGAGAGAGAGAGAGAGAGAGAGAGAGAGAGAGAGAGAGAGAGAGAGAGGAAGAAAGAGGAGAGAGAGGGAGAGAGGAAGAGGGAGAGAGACAGAGAGAAUGAGAGAGAAUGAGAGAGAGAGAAUGAGAGAGAGAGAGAGAGAGAGAGAGAGAGAGAGAGAGAGAGAGAGAGAGAACGCUUCAGCUCGGAUCUAAGAGAGCCCCCAUAACUUUGUCAUUUUUGUUUCACCCUGAGCAGGUCGGACAGUCUCUAUGGUAGUUGAAGAAAGAAUUCAGUAACUUCAUGACUUGGGCCCAUAAGAACAUGAGCCUUUAGCCAGGCCUUAACAAUUUGGUAGGAAUACAAAUGUUCUUGAGGAGAGCUGGAACUAGAACAACUAGAGAUAAGAUGCUGGCACCUUGUGGGUUGGUCGAUGACAUGCUGUUCCUGGAGCACCCGAGAGCCUAGGUUUCUCUGGAACAACUUGCUUUUUCCUCUUUUUUUUCAACUUCGCUGUCAGAAUCACUGCCUGAAGAGCGUGAAGAAACAAGUUCCUUUGAUUUAGGCAUUGCUCUGCUCCAGCAUCCAACAGCCCCUAGCUCGCUCGCUCGCUCCGGACUAGCCCUGUAGGAUCUUAACUUGGGGUCACAACUCAGUUCCUGAAUCUGGACCAUGGUCCUGAUCCAUCAGUCCUGGGGCAUAUGCUCAAUAAAUUAGCCCUGUCUGACUUAGAUCAGUGUCCGUGUAGUUUGUGAGGUGAUUCCUAAACCCAACACUGCCUCCUUCAUCUUCCUC